UGUAUGAACCUUUGUGUUUAGAGGCAAAAUGAAUUUUGCGAAAUCUUGGAGCGAAUUUAAAGAAAUACUUCGCAGACACGAAGUAGAAACUGUAACAAAAUAUGUUUACUACUAUGGAAAGUCAUUCGAUAAAGAGACACCAAUGGACUAGCAGAUAAGAUAGCUGAAUACUGGAUGUUUGAUCAAGGUACAAAUACUGUUGAAUGGAUUAGCUGCAUGGGAAUUUUCCUGUUCUCCUUAUAUAUAAGUGAAUACAAGACAGUUUCCCAUUAGACCUUCUCAAAGGCAUCCCUUUUGCUUGAACUAACUCCAGAUUUACGAUUAAACUGGUUAGAUGAUAUUCCCUAUUUCCACUUUGGGCGAAAAACCUAUGUUU
Molecule: long non-coding RNA, 376 nt
Filed under: Stegodyphus dumicola
Lineage: Eukaryota; Metazoa; Arthropoda; Arachnida; Araneae; Eresidae
Description: uncharacterized LOC118199085
Source: RNAcentral